AGAAAUGGAGCCUACCAGAGAAGCAGAGAAAGAGCUGAUCGGGAGAAUACAGCGUGAGGUUCAGAGAAAAUCUGAGGAGCCCACCAACCAGGUCAGAAGAGCAGGAGGGUCAGCAAGUGAAUUAAUUACACUAGGGUUUCUUAAAGGAGCGCGGAUGAGGGAUUAUCUACAGGAGCCUGAGCACUGUGGCGGUCCCCACAAGAGUCAUGGCUGGCAGGGAAGUGAUCUAAGAGAGGAUAUCCCUGAAUGGAAGCCCUGAGAAACCAUCGUGUGAGGAUGUGAAGAUGAAGCCUGGACUGCACUGAAGACCUCAAGAUGUUAGAGAUGCCAUAGCUGUGGAAUAACUGCCAAGGAGAGCUUCAAACAGUAUGUGGAUCAGCCAAAGAGAGAGCAGUGUUGUAGUCAACAAACCUGGAAAGAGUGGGAGAUCUGAAAAAUUCGCCUACCUCAGGCUGAAGUUAAAGGAGUUAGAGUGUUUCCCACUGUGCUUUGGUCUUGCUUUGGUCCAGUAUAUCCUCACGUUUCUCUCUCUCUCUCUUCCCUCAUGGAAUGGUAACAUAUAUUCUGUGCUAUUGUAUGCUAGAAGUUAUGUAAUUUGGUUUUGGUUUUGAUUUUAUAGAAGGUUAGAGUAAAGAGAUUGCCUUGAGUCUUAGAAGAAACGUUGGACUUUUAAACUAUAUCAAGACUGUGAAACACUAUGAAGAAUUUUGAAGUUGGAUUAAGUACAUUUUGCAUUAUGAUGUGGUUAUAAGCCUAUGGGGCCAAGGAGUGCAGUGUAGUGGUUUGAAUGAAAAUAGCCUCUGUAGGUCAUAUAUUUGAAUAUUUGGUUGCCAAAUAGCAGACUGUCUAGAAAGGAUUAAGAGCUGUGGCCUUGUUGGAAGAGGUGUAUUACUGGGGGUAUAGACUUGGAGUUUUCAAAAGCUCAUGUCAAGCCCAGUCUUGUGUGUUCUCUCUUUCUGCCAAGUGUACUUGUGAAUUAGAUGUAAACUCUCAGCUAAUGCUUAGCACCUUGCCUGCCUGCCUGCUGCUAUGUUUCCUACCAGGAUGGUCAUGAACUAACCCUCUGAAACUGUGAGCAAGCCUGUAAAUAAAUGUUUCUUUUAUAAGU
RNAcentral lists this long non-coding RNA (1108 nucleotides) under Mus musculus (house mouse). Its description in RNAcentral is "predicted gene, 57224". The record is from RNAcentral. Lineage: Eukaryota; Metazoa; Chordata; Mammalia; Rodentia; Muridae.